UGAACGCUAGCUACAGGCUUAACACAUGCAAGUCGAGGGGCAGCAUGGUCUUAGCUUGCUAAGGCCGAUGGCGACCGGCGCACGGGUGAGUAACACGUAUCCAACCUGCCGUCUACUCUUGGACAGCCUUCUGAAAGGAAGAUUAAUACAAGAUGGCAUCAUGAGUCCGCAUGUUCACAUGAUUAAAGGUAUUCCGGUAGACGAUGGGGAUGCGUUCCAUUAGAUAGUAGGCGGGGUAACGGCCCACCUAGUCUUCGAUGGAUAGGGGUUCUGAGAGGAAGGUCCCCCACAUUGGAACUGAGACACGGUCCAAACUCCUACGGGAGGCAGCAGUGAGGAAUAUUGGUCAAUGGGCGAGAGCCUGAACCAGCCAAGUAGCGUGAAGGAUGACUGCCCUAUGGGUUGUAAACUUCUUUUAUAAAGGAAUAAAGUCGGGUAUGGAUACCCGUUUGCAUGUACUUUAUGAAUAAGGAUCGGCUAACUCCGUGCCAGCAGCCGCGGUAAUACGGAGGAUCCGAGCGUUAUCCGGAUUUAUUGGGUUUAAAGGGAGCGUAGAUGGAUGUUUAAGUCAGUUGUGAAAGUUUGCGGCUCAACCGUAAAAUUGCAGUUGAUACUGGAUAUCUUGAGUGCAGUUGAGGCAGGCGGAAUUCGUGGUGUAGCGGUGAAAUGCUUAGAUAUCACGAAGAACUCCGAUUGCGAAGGCAGCCUGCUAAGCUGCAACUGACAUUGAGGCUCGAAAGUGUGGGUAUCAAACAGGAUUAGAUACCCUGGUAGUCCACACGGUAAACGAUGAAUACUCGCUGUUUGCGAUAUACUGCAAGCGGCCAAGCGAAAGCGUUAAGUAUUCCACAUGGGGAGUACGCCGGCAACGGUGAAACUCAAAGGAAUUGACGGGGGCCCGCACAAGCGGAGGAACAUGUGGUUUAAUUCGAUGAUACGCGAGGAACCUUACCCGGGCUUAAAUUGCAGAUGAAUUACGGUGAAAGCCGUAAGCCGCAAGGCAUCUGUGAAGGUGCUGCAUGGUUGUCGUCAGCUCGUGCCGUGAGGUGUCGGCUUAAGUGCCAUAACGAGCGCAACCCUUGUUGUCAGUUACUAACAGGUUCUGCUGAGGACUCUGACAAGACUGCCAUCGUAAGAUGUGAGGAAGGUGGGGAUGACGUCAAAUCAGCACGGCCCUUACGUCCGGGGCUACACACGUGUUACAAUGGGGGGUACAGAGGGCCGCUACCACGCGAGUGGAUGCCAAUCCCAAAAACCUCUCUCAGUUCGGACUGGAGUCUGCAACCCGACUCCACGAAGCUGGAUUCGCUAGUAAUCGCGCAUCAGCCACGGCGCGGUGAAUACGUUCCCGGGCCUUGUACACACCGCCCGUCAAGCCAUGGGAGCCGGGGGUACCUGAAGUGCGUAACCGCGAGGAGCGCCCUAGGGUAAAACUGGUA
This 1439-nucleotide ribosomal RNA is filed under the name uncultured organism. Its description in RNAcentral is "SSU rRNA". It matches the Rfam family "Bacterial small subunit ribosomal RNA". The record is from RNAcentral.